RNAcentral lists this ribosomal RNA (666 nucleotides) under Pichia norvegensis. RNAcentral describes it as "partial 28S large subunit ribosomal RNA". It matches the Rfam family "Eukaryotic large subunit ribosomal RNA", at positions 256 to 931 of the family's 3401-position model. The record is from RNAcentral. Lineage: Eukaryota; Fungi; Ascomycota; Pichiomycetes; Pichiales; Pichiaceae.
UCUGACGAGUCGAGUUGUUUGGGAAUGCAGCUCUAAGCGGGUGGUAAAUUCCAUCUAAGGCUAAAUACUGGCGAGAGACCGAUAGCGAACAAGUACUGUGAAGGAAAGAUGAAAAGCACUUUGAAAAGAGAGUGAAACAGCACGUGAAAUUGUUGAAAGGGAAGGGUAUUGGGCCCGACAUGGGAAUCGCGCACCGCUGCUCCUCGUGGGCGGCGCUCUGCGCUUUUCCUGGGCCAGCAUCGGUUUCCGCUGCAGGAGAAGGGGCUGUGGAAUGUGGCUGGCACGCUUGCGCGCCAGUGUUAUAGCCACGGGCCAGAUGCUGCGUGUGGGGACCGAGGGCUGCGACGGCAACGUCUCGGAUGCUGGCACAACGGCGCAAUACCGCCCGUCUUGAAACAUGGACCAAGGAGUCUAACGUCUAUGCGAGUGUUUGGGUGUAAAACCCGUACGCGUAAUGAAAGUGAACGUAGGUCGGACCGCAGCAGCGGGCACGAUCGACCGAUCCUGAUGUUUAUCGGAUGGAUUUGAGUAAGAGCAUAGCUGUUGGGACCCGAAAGAUGGUGAACUAUGCCUGAAUAGGGUGAAGCCAGAGGAAACUCUGGUGGAGGCUCGUAGCGGUUCUGACGUGCAAAUCGAUCGUCGAAUUUGGGUAUAGGGGCGAAAGAC